AUACAGUGCUUCUGUCUCCUCCCACCGGUCCAGUUAGCUUCCCUCUGGACCAGCAGGCGAGGGGGAGACGUGAGGGUUUGGGACCUUUGGCUGGGAAGCCGCUGACCAGGGGCCACCGCAGGCUUGAUUGGUGGGGGGUGCUGAGCAUGGAAGCCCAGGCAGCUUUCGCUGGGGCAGACUCUCAGGCCGAUGCUGAAGAAGGCUGCUUGUCAGCCAGCGUGUCCCAGGGAGAGGGGAGCAGGUGUGGGGUUCCUGCCAUCUGUGAUAAGCUCCUCGGCUUGCUUGGCAGGAGCCGGUCUUUGCAUGUAGCCCCUUUCCAAUGUGCUGUGUACCAUUCUGGUUUCUCCUGUCCCUGGUGCUGGCUGGGAGUGGGUGGGGGCUGUGGCCUCGGCGCUGGGGAAGGAUGGAGGGCCAGUGGUCCAGGCCCCUUUGAGCGGGGGGAAGGACGUGACCAGGACAUUUAAACUGAGUUGGAGGGGAGCAGCUGCUUUUCUGUCUUUGUUUCUCUGCUCCUUGGGGGCUGGGGCAGGGGUAGUCUGGCCUCCCCCCGGGCUUGCUCUUUGACCUAAAGUUUGUUUCUGAUGGGGUCAGCUUUCCCUUCCUCCCUCAAUACUUGGGAACCUUCCUUCCAACUCCACACUUACUGUUUCAAGCACUGCUGGGGCCUUGAGCUUGUUGGAUUGCAUUUCUGCCGAGAGGAGCCUGUGGGUUCUGCUGUCCUCCAGGGCCUCCGCCAUCGUGUGUGGGCUUUUCUGGACAAGUAGGGCAAGAGGAGGGUGGGCCGGGGGUGCUUCUCAGGGGAGACAGGCUCCAGGCCUGGGCUCUGAGGUCGCUGUCUGGGGUUUUUGGUCUGGCUUAGGGUUGGGGAUAAGCCUCUGGCUACCAGGGCUCCUGGGUGGGGUCUUGUUUGGGGGUUGGUAUUUGGGGUGAAGGUUCAGGAAGCUGCCGUCUAUGCAAUAAUAAACUUGCAUCUGCUCACAGGCUCUGCCUGGGCUGUGGGGUCUGCUUGUGGCCUCAGGAUGGGGGACUGGUCUGAGGAGGAGGAGGGAAGCUGAGGACCCUGGGUCAUGCUGGGUCAGGCCCUGCCUCUCUUACAGUUUCCAUAAUACCUCCUGUGUGUGCACUUGCUCAGUCGUGUCUGACUCUCUGCAACCCCAUGGACUGUAGCCCACCAACCUCCUCUGUCCAUGGGGUCAGCUCGGCAGGAAUACUGGAGUGGUUUGCCAUUUCCUCCUCCAGGGGAUCUUCGCAACCCAGGGAUCGAACCCAUGUCUCCUGCAGCUCCUGCAUUAGCAGGCAGAUUCUUUACCAUUGCACCACCUGGGAAUACCUCCUGAGGGGUGGCUGAAAGGCUUCAGUCCUGACAGGGCCACAGACCUUCUAGGGAAGACCUUGGGUUUGUAAAGCCAACUUCUAAAAGAUUCCCUGAGCAGCAUAUAGCAAAAGAAAGAGCCUGCCUUUUGGAAAAAAAUCUUUGGCCACCCACCCCGCAGGAUCUUAGUUCCCCAGUCAGGGAUGGAACCUGUGCCCCCUGCUUUGAAAGUCUUAACCACUGGACCUCCAGGGAAGUCCCAAAAGAGCCAGCCUUUUGAGAUUGGCUUCCCUGGGCUCUAGUCCUGCUUAGGAUACUUACUUCACUUCUCCGAGCCUCAAUUUCUCAUCUAUAAAACAGAGAAAAUACUACUACCUCCUGGGGUUGUAGUGAGGAUAACUUUAAACAUUAAAGCUCAUAUAAAGCCCAGUAAUUGAGAGCAGUAAGUGCAGACUUCCCAUUUUGGGGUCAUUAUUGCUGUUGACCUGAAGUACAGUCAUUAGCCCUCUCACAAGCUUCUUGCAUUUUAAUUGAAACCCCAGAAACCUCGAGUGGGUGGAGGUGAUUCGGGCUCCUGUCAGAAAGUCACAGAGCGUCUCAGUCAAAGGAAGGACCUAUAGGCCAUCAUCAUAGCUUCCAGAGGCUUAGAUGGGAGGAGAGACUUGCCCAAGUUCACACAACAAGCCAGGGGUGGGAAAGCAAUUAUCUUGACUUAUUUUAGUGGCUAAGUCAAGCCAACAGCCCCCAUGAGCAUUGGAGGGGAGGGUCCCUCACCAGUAGGCUUGAGUUCAGGCAGGUUCCAGAGUUCUUUGGUGCUCA
Molecule: long non-coding RNA, 2131 nt
Filed under: Bos taurus (domestic cattle)
Lineage: Eukaryota; Metazoa; Chordata; Mammalia; Artiodactyla; Bovidae
Description: long non-coding RNA NONBTAT005718
Source: RNAcentral